CGAUAAUCGCGCCAAAAUUUGUUUCUUGGAUAAAGACAUAGCCAGAGCGCGGCAAAAUAAAUCGGAAAGAUAAAUUUCAGAUAUCGUGUUUGCUCUUGACAGCCAUCGAACCCCGUUGGAAACAGGCAGCAAGCGCUUGGCAAGAUAGUAUUUUUCUUAUGCGGUGCAUGAAACGCCUAUCAUCACAUAGUUUGUCAUCUUUGGGCAGUAAAUUUUGCUUUCAAUUCAGCGUGUACAGCGGCAUAUGUUACCCCUGUUGACGCAUUUACCGCGGGCGACAGGCACGAAGCAAUUUGGCGAAAAGUUACCAUUACAUGUGUGCAAGACCGCAAAAGAAAAAAAACGAUUUGCUCUUCCCAGUAUAUAAAUUCCAAAAGACAAGAAUAGGAGCAUUUUGCAAACAAAAUCGGAAAUCUGCGCAGAAAUUCGCCAUUUAUUUGACUUUUAAAUGCAGAAAAAAAAACCGUAAAUAAUUUUUUUUGCUGAAACGAAAAAUGGUGCAGCACAGCAUCCCGCAUGUGAACUUCCAAAUAAUGCGCAGUUGGCUUGUGCCACUCGUGCUUGGUAUUCACUCGUAUUCCUGGCAACAGCUCAUCAUAGCUGCAUCUCCCAUAAGCUCCUUUUCAACUCUGUCGCUCUUGCAAAUGGACAACAAGCUAAAGAUGUCGCUUGCAUUCGUCACCACGUUCCAGCAGAGCGCAUGCAGAAUACGCAUCAACUAUAGCACUGCUUUGAAUAAAGUUACCCGCAAUGCAGUUAUGAAAUUUACUUCAUACCUGCACCUCAAAUACGUGUUCCCGCAAAAACGCCUUUUACGUAGGCACUUAUGCACAUCCAAAAUUUUACCGAGCAUCGUAAUGAAGUCGCGAUCCGUGGUCCCCCAAAUGGCGGAAGAUCGCCGAACAACGAAAAAUAACUAACUCAUGUGCACUUUGUGUCGUAACGACAUUAUCUGCAAAAAAUGGCUGAACGUGUUACUGGUCUUUCCAUGGCAUCUCUCCCGCCGUGCUUCAAAAACCCACAGCUAGUGCUGUACACUGCGCUAUAGCAGCAGCAUCAUCGAAGAGCGGGCCCCUCUGGCAAUCAGCCUCCCAGAGGAGGGAGGGGGUGCUACAGAAGAGUCGAAAAUCGCAAAAUUCCAGCCUACAGUUUCAACCCACGACACUUUCCUUGACCACAUCAAACCCCGGAAGCCGCACGCAACCCCCCCCCCCCUGUUUAAAAGAAACGGUGGCAGGUGACCGGAUUCCCCAGUUUUCAUAGCUACUCCGGCGCCACGUGUCGAAGAAAACAGAGCGGCACAGAGACGUACCAGCAUUUCGUGGCACGCUUCAGGUGAUCUAGGCGGUGUCUCUGAAAACCUCACAUCGAAGCAGUUACAAUUUCGCAUCCGCGGGGACUUUGCACAGCUCUCAAAGAUUCACUGAAUUCGAUUUGCAAUACAUGUGCUCGCGCCAAAGUGCUUUUCCUUCAUGGCAGAUAUCUCAGCCAUGACGAUGAGGGACGCCCCAGUGCGUGGUGUUACGUCCCGGUAGCCCACUCUGUAUGGGAAAGCCAUACAGCCCCCUACUUGCUGACAAAUGCGGAACCACUUCUGGUGGUGGCAGGGUGGAGCGCCUACGACGGAGGGGGGGGGUCAGCGCGAUGCAUUGCCACAGAUGUCGGCGGCCAGGCCCUGGACGGCGUUGCGCCGCAGCGACCUGCAAUCGUGCACACGUUAGUGUCACCCGUAUGAUUAGGCAGAAUGCCAACGUGACUGGAACCUGCACUACUCGGGCCCCCACGCUGCCCACUGGAGUGGGGAGCCUGAGCCGCCCCGAGGGACGCACCAGGUGGGCGACUGGCAUAGUGGGGGAGCGGCUGUGAGGCGACCUGCGAAGCUGGUGUGGGCAGGGCUUAAGGCGGGGAGGCCGUGCUCUUCGACGACUGAGUCGGCGCGUUGCUGAAACGUUGGUGUCUGGCGCUGCUUCGCACGACUGGAUGGGACCGUGAGAGGCCGGGGAGGGGUCGAGCCCGACUCAUGCUGUCUUGCACAAUGAAUGGUUUGACAACAAAAAAAAAACAAUUUCAACUUCUUUGAAGCCUGCUUUGCACUGAUGUUGAGUCUCUUUACAAGAGGCACCUCAGUACCGAAUGAGGAUGCAAAAAUCCCUUCAUGAAGUCAACUGUUACUCUCGCUUUAUUUACCGCACAUUGUUUAUUGCUGCUGCAG
Molecule: unclassified non-coding RNA, 2212 nt
Filed under: Leishmania donovani
Lineage: Eukaryota; Euglenozoa; Kinetoplastea; Trypanosomatida; Trypanosomatidae
Description: gene:unknown
Source: RNAcentral